Molecule: transfer RNA, 383 nt
Filed under: Ligilactobacillus animalis
Lineage: Bacteria; Bacillati; Bacillota; Bacilli; Lactobacillales; Lactobacillaceae
Description: Lactobacillus animalis 16S/23S rRNA intergenic spacer
Rfam family: tRNA (bases 78-151)
Source: RNAcentral
UCUAAGGAUAAUUUCGGAAACCUGCACUUUAUCGUAAACUUUGUUUAGUUUUGAGAGGUCUACUCUCAGAGCUAAAUGGGCCUAUAGCUCAGCUGGUUAGAGCGCACGCCUGAUAAGCGUGAGGUCGGUGGUUCGAGUCCACUUAGGCCCAUUAUAUGGGGCUUUAGCUCAGCUGGGAGAGCGCCUGCUUUGCACGCAGGAGGUCAACGGUUCGAUCCCGUUAAGCUCCAUUGAUAACAUUACUUAUCAAACUUGUUCUUUGAAAACUAGAUAAUAUCUUUUAUUUCUUUGUUAAUUAAAAUAACCGAGAACACCGCGUUUUAAAGAGUUUAAAACAUUAAUGUUUAAUCGCUAAACUCAUAACCAUUAUCGUAAGAUAAUAU